RNAcentral lists this long non-coding RNA (3554 nucleotides) under Solanum tuberosum (potato). RNAcentral describes it as "long non-coding RNA (STUB_LNC007981)". The record is from RNAcentral. Lineage: Eukaryota; Viridiplantae; Streptophyta; Magnoliopsida; Solanales; Solanaceae.
GGAAAUUCAGCAAAAAGGACAUGAGGUCUUCAUAUGCCAGCAGAAAUAUGCUAAAGAAAUUAUCAUAAAGUUCAAAAUGGAAGAAUGCAAAUUUACAACAACUCCUAUGAAUCAAAAAGAGAAGUUUUACGAAGAUGAUGAAGCUAAAAAGGUUGAUUAAGGACUUUAUAAGAGCCUGAUAGGUUGCCUAAUGUACUUGACUGCAACGAGACCAAAUAUUCUUUAUGUUGUAAGUUUUCAAGAUAUAUGCAUUGGGCUAGCAAAACUCAUUUUCAAGCAGCUAAUCGUGUGAUUAGAUAUGUUAAAGGUACUGUGAAUUUUGGCAUAAUGUUUAAAAAAGCAUCAGACUUUCAGUUUCUUGGAUUUUCUGAUAGUGAUUGGGCUGGUAGCUCAGAUGAUAUGAGAAGCAAUGGAAUGUUCUCUUGGUGUUCAAAGAAGCAAGAUAUUGUGGCUCAAUCUACAACUGAAGCAAAGUAUAGUGCAGCUACAUCAGCUGUGAAUCAAUCCCUUUGGAUUCGGAAGCUACUGACAAUUUGCAUAUGGAGAAAAACAAGAGCACUGAAAUCUUUGUUGAUAAUCACUCUGCAAUUUCAAUUGCAAAUAAUCCUGUUUCACAUGGAAAGACAACAUUUCAAGAUCAAGCUUUAUUUCUUGAGGGAGGUGCAAAAGAGUGGAGACAUAGACUUGGUGCACUGCAAAAUUGAUUUUUAGACUGCUGAUAUUUUAACUAAGGCCCUACCUAGAGCAAGAUUUUAAUUUCUCAGAAAAAGGCUUGGGAUUGUUGCUCUUGAGUGAAAAAUGAGUGUUGAAAGUGGUGCCUCAAAACCUAGAGAUUAGUUCCACUUUCUAUUGUAUCAAUAUACAACUUAAAAGUAGGAUUAAGUUCAGGUAAAUAAGGUUGCAGUAUUUGGCAGAAUCUGAUUAGUUAGUUGCUAUAUUUUAGGCUUUAGUUAUUUGAGAUAAUGUUAUAUUAUUUCACUCCUUUUCUUUAGCUUUUUAAGUUAUGAAUUCAUGUAUUUAUAUUGCAGCCGUUAUUUCAAUAAACAAGCAACUUAACCUUGUUAUCUUUUCUUUCUUUCUUAGUAAACAUCUAUUAUUCUCCUGUUAAAAACCUACAAAGGGUAUAAGCUAAAAAUGUGAUUGUCCAAAUAAAAGGCUUAAGGCUCAAAGUGGGAACAUGCUAAGGAUUGAUAUCAUUUGAUAGGCUUUGAAAGGAACAAACAGGUCAAAAAAGGCCUACAAUCAUUUCUCAAAUCAAACAUUACUCAGAAUUUCGUCUCAAUAAACAUUCAAGCCAAAAUCUGGAUCAACAACACAACACAAUUAAAUUUAAUUCAAAAUUCACCACACAUUGCACAGGAAACAAUGAAUCUUAUUUUGUUCUAAUCUUGAAGGUAUGCAAGAGAAUAUUUUCAAGUGUAACAAAAUUAUGAAUGCGACGUACCAAAAGAAUCUAUGGUUUAACAAGAAGUCAAUAUUUCUCCAUUAUAUCAAUUAUUUUUUCAUACGCACAAUCUAACUGUGUUGGCACUAACCAAAUCAAAAAAUGAUUUUAAACAUUUUACAAAGAAUAAGAAAAUAAAAAAAACUUUUGAAUAAAGAAUACCCCUAGAAGGGCUGCCUACGUAUCUCAUUGAGAUGAGAAUCAGGUUUUCGUAGUUCGUGCAGAUAUGACAUAAAAAUAUUUUUUGAGAAACAUAUGAAUUUUUUGAAAGGAGAAAAAACUAAUAAAAAUAAGAAACCAACGAGACACAUUGAAAGGCAGACAACCCAAAUUAACAAAAAAUCUCUUUUUUUGAAAGAAAAAAACAAAAAUAACUAAAUGAAAAAGAAGCAAUGAGUCACAUUGAAGGGCAGACCACCAAAACUUUAAAAAUGUCAAUUUUCUUAUGGAAUAUAAGAAAAAUAAAAUCAAAGAUAUGUAAUGAAUUUAACAUCAUGUACAAACAAUUAAUAUAAAGGUAUAAACCAACUCAGAAUAAUAUGGCAUGAUGCAUCGACAACAUACAUAUAAUUAAACAAAUAACGAAAGAAUAAUAAGUACAACAUACACAUAAUCAACUAAAUAUACAAGAUAUAAUGGAUAACAUAAUAUAAGAAAAAUCCCAUAAAUUUGAAAAAAUGACACUUAAUGGUUAGAAUAUCUAUAUCCCCAGCGGAUUUGUCAUUCUAUUGACAUCUCGAAGGUGCAACGUCACGGUGACUCACAAAAAAUAACUAAUAGAUUUAAUUUUUAAAAGAAUUUAAAUAAAAAAGAAAUUUUAAGGGAAGUCGCCACCUAAUUUUGAGGAUAAUUAAGAAAUCAAUUAAUUAAUUAAUUAAAUAUUUCUACGAAACCAAUAAAUUAUAGGUAAGAGUUCAAGUAUUUCUAAAUGAAAGGUGUUAUACAUCCUUCAAAAUCCACAACUGUGAGUCUCGACUGAAUUCAUUUUUCAAACUAAGGAGGAGAUAAAAAAAAAUUACAAGUAUAAUAAACAUGUAAUAUACACAAAUCAUAAAGUAAAAUAAUAGUAUAAGAAACAACCUAAGUUUUGCUAACGUUAAUAAUAUACACAAUAAUGAAUCAAAAAAUAUUGUUCAAACUUUAUUCGAAUAGCUUCAAUGGGAAGUAACUCUAGGUACAUGUAAAGACACUUAAUAAAAGUGUUAGUCAUAAAUAGAUAUAAAUAACAAUUAAUGAAUCAAAUAAGAAUCCGUCUUGAACACAGGAGACCUUGAAAAUUGACGGUAAUUUUUUCAUCGACCAAUUUUAACAAACAAUUUAUGCAAACUUAAACUAAAUUUAUAUCUUUUACAAUGGGGAGGCCUCGAAAAUUGACAGGGAGAUUUUUUUCAUUGGCCAAUUUUAAUAUACAAUUUGUACAAACUUAAACUAAUUUUUUGUCUUUUACGAUUGGGAGGCCUCAAAAAUCGACGGAGAGAUAUUUUCAUUGGCUAAUUAAACUUAAUAAAAUCAAGUAAAACUAAAAAAAGAUAAAAACAAUAUGUAACAUCCAAACGAUAAUCAACAUAACAAAAUGAUAAUAAUAAAUAAAAAUAACAUAGCAACAUCCGUCACUAAAACUUCUUAGAAAAUGAAUGCUCCCAAUCUUAAUAAAUCUAGAAAAUCACGUGAAAAAAUAGUCAAAGUAUUAUUAUAGCUAACAAAUUUAUAUACGUAAUUCAUAUAGUUCUACCAACAGUCAACUGUAGCUAUUGAAUCUAAGGGAAUAAAUAAAAAUAAUUAAGAAAGAAGAAAGAGCAGCCUAUUUGUACAUACGCGAUUUAUAAUUCCAACAUCACUGAAAAAAUAUUCAAAACAAACAAAUCAACUCCAACACUAAAAAUAAUCAACAAUAAUGAACGAAUCAAAGAUGGUCGAAGUUUGAACUGUUCCGGCCAGAUCUGAAAAAGAGAAAUGAAGUGAAAGAGGAAUUGUUUAUUUACCGGAGUUGUAGCUCGAUCUGAUCGGAGCUCACUAGUAACAACGAUGGAGCUCGUGGUCUGAGCGUUAGUUGGAUUUCAAGCUGGUAAACUUGCUUUCCAGAGAUGGCGUCUCAGAUGGGUUGCUACGG